Molecule: long non-coding RNA, 9676 nt
Filed under: Cricetulus griseus (Chinese hamster)
Lineage: Eukaryota; Metazoa; Chordata; Mammalia; Rodentia; Cricetidae
Description: lncRNA (ENSCGRG00015029617.1)
Source: RNAcentral
AAUGCUUUGUUUUCUAGGAGUUGCCUUGGGCAUAGUGCAUCUAAAUAAAAUAGUCACUGAGACAUUUAUAUAGUGAAUUAUUCUAAUCACAAGGAAACUAGAGAAAAUAUUUACAAGUAUCAUAAUAAAUCAGAAUAUUGAAAUGUAUAAAUCCAAAAACUGAGUAACAUAAACAGAAAUAAGUCAACUAAUUUAAAAUGGAAAAAAGAAUCAGUACAGUAUUGUGUUUAUGAACACAACAUUUUUAUUUACUCACCAGUUAAUGAAUAUUUGAGUUAGCUCUACUAUUAACAAUAUUGUAUGAACAUUCAUGUGUAAGUUUUACAGUAGAUAUGUUUUUAUUUUACCUAAGGAUGUAACUGGAAAUCAAAUUACUGAGAUAUAAGACACCAUUUACUGAAGAAAUGUCAAAGGUUUGGAGAAUAAGUGUACCAAUUUACAUUUCUCUGUGGAAAAUAAUUCAAAUCAUCUCCUACAUUCUAACAUUUAUAUUUUCAAUCAAUUUAUAAAACAUUUUCAUCUGUCUCAUCAUUUUCAAAUAAGCACUCAUUUUAGGCUUUAGAACCUCAGAAUUAUAGGGCAGUAUCAGUAUGGGAGGCAAAGUAAUGAUUAGAUUGAACUGUAAACUUAGUAAGGCAAUUCAUGGACAAAGAAAUCUAUUCUUGAUAGAUAAAUAUAAAUAAAAUAAUGUUGCUAUGCACACUUACUAAUAAUGAUACUUGUUUCAAAAGUCCAUAAAAGUUGUAUUCCAGAAAGUAACUUAAUUUUAGGAAGAUGGGGGAAGCAUCUACAAGUAUUAAGAUAGGGUGUAAAAAUGAAAGGAAGCAAACUAUCUCGGCAGUCUGGAGAAGUAACAGUCCAAGAGCAAAGCUGGACAUUUGGUGAGGUAACUGAACACAAAUAACAAGGAGCUAGAAAGAACCAUGGACACACUUUUUUUUUUUUUUUACUUUACAAUGGAGAGAUUUAAAGUAGAAUCAUGGUCCAAAUUCGUAGAGCAUUUGGAAAGCGAUGAUACAGUGUGAAGGAAGCAGGUGGCAAGGUUAAAGCAUGGGUCAACAUGAUGAUUUAACGGCAGUUUUGAAAAAUUACUGGAGGCAGGCAAGACAACAGUCUGCAAGUGAAAAGAUUUUAAAUCAGGCCAGGUGGAAGAUGCUGGCUCUGAGUCUUGGCAGCUCAUGUGUUUGGUUAAAAGGAUGACUGAUAAAAGUCUAAAUAUUAUUAAAAUGCUGAUUGGAAAAUGUUUACAGUACAAUAAAAAGAGAAUUCUUGCGAGGAACAGCCUCCAGUCCUCUGUUGUGUCUGUCUUUUAUAAAGAUUGAUGAGAAAGUUAAGAAAAUCAAUUUAGAUGAUUAAAGAAGCAGUAUCCUUCCAGCCAUCCAGACCAGGUUCAUUGUCGCCAAAUAGCCUCAGUGAUAGAAAUAAGCUGGCAGCGACGAGGAAAUAUCUUUUACAGAACAGAAGGUUUUUCAAAGACCAUUCAGUCAAGCAAAUGGCUACCUCAUUAACCAAACUGGGAACUAUUCCAAACGUUUACAAAAUAAUUGUAUUCAACACCUACGUCCAAAGCUUCUUUCGUGGGCUUUCUCUCCCCUUUCUCUCCUCAUUAAAGCAGCCCACCAUUUUCCUAGGUGGCUGUCUGGCGUACUUUUGUUUUCUGUUCUAGACAAAGCAUGACUGACAGUGAUAAAGAAAAUUAUAUAUUAAUUCUUCCCCACAAACAGCAAAUAGAUGAAAAAGACAUGUUCAGAUGUCCCAUGCCUUCGUAGAGAUUGGGGUAUGAAUUCCAAGCUAUUCAUUUCAGUGAAUUCCCAGCACCCUUUGUUUAGCUGUGUAUGCAAGCUGAACCAGUAUGAUUGCAGAAGACAUAUAAUUACCACAUUCACUGUAAUUCUAAAAAUCACUUUGAUUCCUUUCUGCAUGACUUCAAAUGGCACCUUUGUGCUUUACUCAGUCUUUAGUAUACUCAUUUAAAUAUAAAUGAAGAUGCUAAUGAUGGAUAGCUUGGUAGAUAGAUAGAUAAUCCCCUAUUCCUUAUUUAGAAACAAAACAAACAAAAAGCUAUGGCUUGAUGGUUUAGCAGUGGACCAGCCUAGGAUGUCUAUACCUGAAUUCUCUCUACAUCUAAAUAAAUACAUCCUUUUAUUUCCUUAAAUUCUUAAUGAUAUCCACUGUUAUCUUUUCUGUUUUUUAGGAUGUUUGCAGAUCAGAAAAUCACCCAUGAGCUCUAUUUCAGGGCGAUUCUACCAACUCACUACUUUGGCUUUAAACCUUCUGACCUUUGCUUUAUGAGUGGAUCUUAGUACUCAGCUCACUCAGAAAAUGUUCAUUGCAAUGAGUCGUGGGUCUGGUUCAAGUCCUCUGGCACACCAUCAUCACUGGACCCGCAUCAAAACUCCUGAUAUUUUUCUGUUGCCCUGAGUCAUGGAGAUCCUUCAGUUAUCUACACAGGACCGGUCCCUUCAUGCACUUCAGCAGGAGAUAGAUGAGGUUUUAGGGAACUCUUCUGAUUUAAAAGUGGGGACAAAAGCAUUGGUGUGUUGCUGCAAUUGAGUGAUAAAACAUGUAAAGAACAGUCCAGAACCUGGUGCAAGGCAGCUUGUUGAAUACAAUAUGAAUAUCUAAAGAAAGGGGAGACCAUGUACAUCUGAUACAGAAAAUGAAGGAAAUGGAAGUGUUAUGUUAAUCUGGAAAUUUUUCCAAGAUACAAAGCACAUGAGAGAGCAGUUUCUAAGUAUUAUUUUAAGAAAAGAUGUAGACCUAUUUUCACGCUCAUCUACGAUAGCUCUAAAAGACACACAGCUCAAUUCCAAGAUGCAAGAUGAAACACUCAAGCUAUCAUCAGUUUGCACUGUACAAUUCAAAAUUUUUAUUACCUACACUUUAUUUCCAAAGCAGUGAAAAAGCACUGAGGCAAACAUUGUUCAUUUUACACAAAUUCGAAAUUCCUCCAUGCGUUAGCUUAGUGAUCAAAAUAAAUAUUGAGCAUGUCCUGAGAAUGGACAAUGCAAGCAUAUUAUGCCAAUGAUUCUCAAUGGGUUGCAAAUUAUAUUGGCUGGCUGACUAAAGCAAUCACAUUAGGAUUAUAAUUAACAAAUUGCUGUUUCAGAUCAUUAUUUAAAGAUAAAACACACAAACCAGUGUCGUCGUUUGGCUAUAGAAGUAUUUAUGGCAUGACACUGAUAUAUAAUCCGUGGCCUGGCUAUAUUUGAAAAGUAACUUUCACGUGACAUGUUUAGGUUUAUACUUCUUUCUUAGGGUACAUAUGUCAUCAAAAGCAUCAAAAACUGGAGCCAGGUGUAGUGCCCCAUGCCUGUAAUUUCAACAUUAGGGAAACGGAUACAGGAGGAUCAGAAAAUCAAGGUAAUAUUUUUCUUUUUAAAAGAAAUCAUUGUUCCUUUAAAGCUGCUCAAAUUGGAGUUCCUGUAAUUCUUAUGAGUGCUCUGUUUUGCCAGAGUGCCAUGGUAGAGAGGCACUCAUGCAGCAUUGCAGCAGUGAACAGUUUUUCCUCCAGUGUAUAGCUGUUGUGCUACUGAGAAAGCAAUGUUUUUGAAAAUGACAGCAGUUUGGUGUAUACUAGAAUGUUCUGAGAAAGCCACUGCUCUAAAGUUGUUUUGACAAAAAGCAUUAUUUUCCCAGGGCUGUAUCACAAUCUGAUUAAUAACGAGGAGCUGAGUGAUUUGGAAUCAAAUAAAGUUGACAUGAAUCUCUAGCAACAUAGCAGCACCAUAAUGACUUGUUUCAUUGCAGGUAGCAAUAAAGCCUAUAUGAUAAUACAUAAACUAAUUCCCAGCUUGAUUCCAUCCAAUUUUUGAUAAAGCUAUACAAAUGCCAUGUGUAUUGUCCUUACAUAUUCAGCAGGACAAACAACGAGAAAAUACCUGGGUUUUUUUAAGGGUAUGAUAGACAGAAGAUUAUCUGAACAUUUAAAUAUUCCCAUAAAGAUUUAGAUAAGAAAGGUAAAGCAUAUGCUGGCAAUUUUAAUAUCCUGUGACUGAGACUCAUUUGAAGAUAAUCUUCACAUGAAAAUUUUACCCAGACUGAUCAAUCAAACGAUAUAUAUACAUAAAUUACACGACAAGUGUAUGGAGAAUUAUGUUUGCCACAAAGUGAAGUAUUCCACCUUGAUAAAAAAAUAGUAUUGUGAAUUCAUUACAGAAUAUUUUAUGAAAUCUGAGAGAUAGAGUAGACUUACUUAUGUUAGGAAAUCUGCCAUGCAAUACAUCCAUAUUAUGAAAACCAAUAGUUUAUCUUCCUUAUGAUUCUCUGCAUUUACAUUUCCAUGGUAUUUUACCCUGAUUUGUAGCUGAUUCCUUUGUGAGUAUUUUUGCAGCUUUUGGAUUUAACACUGACCUAUAAUAAUUUUAUAAAAAUUCCCCAUUGAUCGUUAGGAUUCCUCAGUAAUGGAUUAGGGACAUUCUGGUGUGUUCUUCCAGACUGCAGCAAUCUCAAGCAGGAAUUAGGCACAUGUGACCCAGGGGACAGAUUAUAUGAUGAAAACUCAGAGUGGAGUUUCUAACAAUCUUUUAUUUUUAUAGUGAGACUCCAACCUACUAUAUGAGAUUGGGAUAUAGCAAUUUGCCUCUGCCUAAUAGGAGUUUUAUCAGAAUUUAAGAGUGUUGAAAGAUGUUAGAAAAUUAAAUUGUAAACCAGAAUUUUAAGCCUUAAUUGGAAGGUGAGAUACUCAUCUGAAUCAGGUCUAACAUCAUAACUUGUUAAAGCAAAAUGGAAAGAUGGGUUCUGAUAGGACUUCCCAGUCAGCCCAAUGCACACAUCAGGCAGAUACAGAUCUGGUUGUCAACACAGUAAGGUUCUGCAUCAGAUGGAGACUCUGCUUUCUAGGGUGGAGUCUGAAGCAGAGCUAGGAUGCUGGUAAAAUCAAGAGCCAAAUGAUGAUUCAAAUGUGCUAUAGUUUUCACUGUUGAAACUGUAUGGUCUAGAAAUUAAAGCUAGGUAAAAUGUUACUUCAACCUAUCUUUUGGAAACUUCCUUGCAUGAAUCCACUUCUGCCACUUUAUAAAUUAGUUCAGUAAAUUUUGAGGCAAGUCUUUUGAUGCCUUACCAUUUUAUGUGAUUGUUUUCUCUAAUAUUUAUCAGAGCAUUAAAUAUCUUUCAUCACCUCCUUGUCUAAUAACAAUGUGUUCAAAUAAAAUGAUAUAUUUGAAGACCCUGCUGUAAAUUAUUACCCUGUUUUCACAGAAUUCAUUAUGUACUGUUUUCAGUUACAUUCCUUUCUUUGCAAUCAAUGACACAUCAAUUCAUAACAAAUUUAUUUUUUUAAAGUUAUGCUUUUGUCCUCACAAGUAUUUGAAGAAAAUUUCCACAAUUGUAAUUAACUUACUUAUAUGGGCUUCUAUGUUUAAUAUAUUGCAAAAAUAUAUGUUUUUUAAGUAGCAGUUUUCAACUUUACAUCAUCAACAAACUAGUCCUACAUUAAUCCUCAGACAAAAGAAGCAAUGAAUUUCUUCUUACCAUCAUAAUCAUGAAAUAUAUUGUAGCUUUCAUAAUAUAUAGCCCAUAAACAACAGAAAAACUGUUUAAUUCCUUUUCUUCAAAACUGAAAUAAGCCCUUCUAAGAUUUUUAAUUUAUUUGAAUGCCAGAUUAAAAUAUUAAUUAGAAUACUAAUUACAUGAGAUUUUAACUUAGCAGGUCUCUGCCCUUUUCUGUUGUUAUUGCUUUAAUUAAUGUUUCCAUUGACAAAUAUUGGAAAUGACUGUAAAUUAGGAAGUAGUGGAUAUACUGGGGUCGAUUUAUGAUAGAUGCCAUGUCAGAGUAAAUUAGUAUUCACAAGAACAAUUUCUCUGCAGUCCUUUGCUACACAUGAAACAAGUCUUCCUUGUGUUUGGGGGUGCUCUGUUGAAAACUAAAACUAUUCCCUAAAUCUUCGGACAGUGUUAGUAGUUCCCAAGAGUUAAUCACAGGCAUACUCUCAAAAGUGGUGAGUACCAACAUUUGUCAUGUUUUCUGCAUUCUGAUUUUCCUUCUCGUGUAUUUUUCUCUCAGUGAGGAACAGAUCCUCCUAGGCCUUUAAAAAUGAUUUAAUUCUAAAUGCUAAAAUCUCAGCAGUCAUGAGCUGUUAUUCAACACAAACCAUAGCAAACCAUAGCAUAGGAGUCAAGGCUAGAAGACAGCAGUGAGAAAUUCGAAUUCCAAAGAGAGAUGCCCUGGUGAAGAAGAUACCAUAAAAUGAGAACCAUUGUAAAUGACAAAUUGGUAGCAUCUCCUUUAGAUACCCAUUUCUCUCUUUCAGGGAUAGGUUGUUCCCUAGAGAAACAAACACAUUUUUUGGCAAGCUAAGCAGUAAGAACGCUGCAAUUUUACAGGAGAUAAUAAAUCUUGACUUAUGUUGUUGUUAUCCAGAUUUAACAACCCAGACAGUAGUGGGGAUUUGCCUUUGUUGCCUUGGAACCUUACUUAAAUGACAACUUAUAAAGACAUUCAGGACAUAUAUAUUCCAAGAGGUCAUAAAUCCUACCUGAGAACAACGCCCUAACCCAUGGCGAUGUGAAAGAAGGUUGAAGGCAUAAUGAAGGAGGGCAUUAUUGAAGUGACAGCCUUAAGCCAAGAGAGUAUGUGGUGUGUUGCCUAAGUGGCAAGUGGGUCCUCAGGUAGGUUCAGAAAUAUAACUUAUCCAAAGAUCACAAAGAGGAAAGUGUUGGCAGAACACUGUGAAUAGUUUUCACGGUUAUUCCAAGUUUUCAACAACGGAAAUAUACAUCUCCAGACGAAAGUGAGAAUGGGGAAAGGGAUGAUUUAGAAAACCAAAAAGGAAAAAUAAAGGUAGAAGAGAGAGCUUCUAAGAUUUCUGACAGUGAUUUCUGCCCUAUGUGUCUGUGUUAGCUCUAUCUAAACGUAGGUGCACCGACUGAUUCACUUCGAAUACCCAUGAAAUGGCAGUCAAGGGUCACCAGCCCUAAAAUUAUGUUACAAAAUGACUACGACUUCACUUUCUCUUAGCCAUGUUAAACUUCUCUUUGGGAAGGUCCAUAUUUGAGGAAAUAACACAUUUAAUGAGGAUCCAGUAAAGAAUUAAAGUUUGUGACCAAUUGUGAGCUUAGAAAUAGAUCCGCCCUGAAAUAGAGAAGGGAAUAGCAGUCUACAAGUGAUAUGAUGAGAUGGAUGGGGGAAAUGGGGCCUUUAAUUAGGAACAGGGAACAGAGACAGAUACAGAAGGAGUGAGGGGAGUAAAAUAACUGUAACAGUGUCUGAAAAGGUCAUAAAGAAUCACACUAUGCCUAAAAUACCUAUAAUAUAUGUAAAUUGGUGUAUAAAUAUAUGUACAUAGUUUAAAUGAAAUUUUCCCAUUUGACCUAACAAUGCUCCCUCUAAGAGCCAAAUACCACCUACCAAUAAUCACAGUACCAGUCAUCAGAAGCCCUCUUUUGACUUGAUCAGGGUUAGCGAAGUUACUCCCAAAACAUUGUACGGUAUGGAUGCUUCCCUUGGUUGCCCCAAGAAGUGGGAGAUAAAUUCAUAUUACUGAAGACACCAUGAACUUCAGACACAGUCCAAAAGCCACUGAACUGUAACUGUUCUGAAUGCCAGACCCUUGAGAAUUAGAUUUCAUGGUACCAGAAGUCACUUUACAAGCUCUCCAAUGAGGGAAGCAACCAAUAGUCCUACCCAGCUCUGAUAACCAUGAACCAUAACCAUCAAUAUGACAGGAUAACACUAAAGAUGCAACAGUGGUGUUCAUACCUUGGUAGUAACCAACUGCUCUCAAAUUGGACCUAAGACUCAUUCAACAAAAGGGAUAUUAUGGCUGGAUGGAAACCUAGCCAACUACAUGAGGCUAUUGCAGUUAUGGAUCUUGAAGGAGAACAUGUAACUACCAUUUUACUAAACUAAACAUAAUCUUUAACUACAUCUUAAAUAUUUAUCUUUAUACCAAAAUAUAAGUGUAGUUCUCACCCCUUAUCAAGAAAACUACUCUUAGCUAGGCGGUGGUGGCACAAACCUUUAGUCCCAGCACUCAGGAGGCAGAGGCAGGCGGAUCUCUGUGAGUUCAAGGCCAGCCUGGUCUACAAGAGCUACAAGACAGCCUCCAAAGCCACAGAGAAACCCUAUCUCAAAAAAACAAACAAAAAAAGGAAAGAAAACUUCUCUUUGCAAUAUAUGGAGAUUAUCACCCAAAACCACAACUGAUCAAAAUGCAGAGUUGUGGGGCCCAGUCCCACAACACAAGUCCUGAACCUAAGACUAGGGAACCACUGCAAAACAGAGACAGAAAGAUUAUAAGAACCAGAGGAAUGAAUAGCUGCACCCAUGAAGUCUCACCAAUAUGGCUUAAUAAGGAUGACACCAAUAGACACGUUAACAUUGAAGGGAGUCCAUAGGGUCCCCACCUUAGAAUGAACUACCAGCAACUCAGAAAUGCUGAAAACAGGAGAAAGUUUCUUCCCCAGGGAAGAAGACACCAAUUGUUUGCCCAAUACCAAAUGGUCAGGCUUGAAAAUAUGUACAUAAAAAUCUUAUAUGACUGAGUUGUUGUAUUCAGAUAUUUAGAGAGGUGUGUGUGUAUAAAACAACAAUUAAAGGAAGAGACCGUGAAUUUUAGAAAGCGCCUAGAAGAGGUAUGUGGCAGUGUUUGGAAGGAGGAAAAUGUUACAAUUAUACUAUCAUUGCAAAAAAGUUUUUUAAAAAACUAAACAGAGAAAAGGAAAUAGAUACUCCCCACGAAAGCCUCAGAAAACUGAGAUCCUGGAAUAUUUUUUAAUUUGGAUUCACAUUUCUGACCAUCUGAACCUGUGUGACAAAUACUAUUUAUACCAUUAAGCUAUUAAAUAUUGUAGUUAUGCAUUACAUGGCCAUGGAUUACUAACACAAAUGGUAUGGAAUAGUCAUCCAGGAAAUAAGCUAUAAUUGGAAUCACAUACAAUGGUGAGAAUGUUUAAAUAAAACUCAGGGAAGAAGUGUUUAUUGCCACAUACAUAGAGGUGAUUUUAAGUUUGGGGAUUUUGCAGACAAGCAUGAUAAAACGAAAGUAAAGAAGUUGAAACAUUAGAAAGGAAUGGGCAUGGUCCUUAAUUGUGGGGUUUACCUUGAGCAAGGAGAUUGUUGAGACUGUGAGAAGAGAAAGUAAGAGAAAAGGUUAAUAGAUAAUACUUACUGGAGGGGAGAUGGACUUGGAUUAAAGAAAACUGGAAAUAGACUGUGGUGGUGGCAAACAGAAAGCUUGAGAAUGAGUUUAUUGGAGGGCUGCGUUGUUGACAACUUCUACAAUACAACCGUGGAAACUGGUGUAUAAGUAAAUGAUGGAGAAUGGUGGCCCCACAAAAAUAUCUCAGUGUGCAUACCCCAGGGUGUAUGGUUGUUAAAAUAAUGCAUAACAAAUUAUGAAAUAUAGAAGUGUGAGUUAAGAAUAUAAAUCUUGAAGAACAUUUAGAAAUAAGACAUUUGAUGGUAGAUAACUGUUAGAAUAGCAGAUAGGAGACAAUAUCAUUAAUAGCACAAGAAUAAAAAUUGGUUUUUCAGGAAAAUGGAUGAUUUUCACUGCCUAAAAAGUGUCAUAAAGAAUUUUUCUGUGUAAAAUAAAAAUUACUCCAAAAUGUUACUACCGAACCAUUUUUAACAAAAAUAUUGAUUAGUUUACAGUAUGCCCAAUUUUGUCCAGGAAAUCUUUUUAAUGCCUAAAUUAUACAUAAUUAUCCUAAUUAGUAUCCUAUACUCCCUCCC